GACGAACGCUGGCGGCGUGCCUAAUACAUGCAAGUCGAGCGGAUGACGGAGGAGCUUGCUCCUCCUGAUUCAGCGGCGGACGGGUGAGUAACACGUGGGCAACCUGCCCUGUAGAUUGGGAUAACUCCGGGAAACCGGGGCUAAUACCGAAUAAUCCUUCGGACCUCAUGGUCCGAUGUUGAAAGACGGUUUCGGCUGUCACUACAGGAUGGGCCCGCGGCGCAUUAGCUAGUUGGUGAGGUAACGGCUCACCAAGGCCACGAUGCGUAGCCGACCUGAGAGGGUGAUCGGCCACACUGGGACUGAGACACGGCCCAGACUCCUACGGGAGGCAGCAGUAGGGAAUCUUCCACAAUGGACGAAAGUCUGAUGGAGCAACGCCGCGUGAGUGAAGAAGGUUCUCGGAUCGUAAAACUCUGUUGUGAGGGAAGAACAAGUACCGGAGUAACUGCCGGUGCCUUGACGGUACCUCAUUAGAAAGCCACGGCUAACUACGUGCCAGCCGCCGCUGUAA
Molecule: ribosomal RNA, 514 nt
Filed under: uncultured bacterium
Lineage: Bacteria
Description: partial 16S ribosomal RNA
Rfam family: Bacterial small subunit ribosomal RNA
Source: RNAcentral